RNAcentral lists this ribosomal RNA (405 nucleotides) under uncultured Rhodospirillales bacterium. Its description in RNAcentral is "bacterial SSU rRNA". It matches the Rfam family "Bacterial small subunit ribosomal RNA", at positions 354 to 776 of the family's 1533-position model. Lineage: Bacteria; Pseudomonadati; Pseudomonadota; Alphaproteobacteria; Rhodospirillales. The record is from RNAcentral.
GUGGGGAAUAUUGGACAAUGGGGGAAACCCUGAUCCAGCCAUGCCGCGUGAAUGAUGAAGGCCUUCGGGUUGUAAAGUUCUUUUGGUAGGGACGAUGAUGACGGUACCUACAGAAUAAGCUCCGGCUAACUUCGUGCCAGCAGCCGCGGUAAUACGAAGGGGGCUAGCGUUGUUCGGAAUUACUGGGCGUAAAGGGCGCGUAGGCGGUCCGACAAGUUGGGUGUGAAAGCCCAGGGCUCAACCCUGGAAUGGCACCCAAAACUGUCAGACUUGAAUUCGGUAGAGGAUGGUGGAAUUCCCAGUGUAGAGGUGAAAUUCGUAGAGAUUGGGAAGAACACCCGUGGCGAAGGCGGCCAUCUGGACCGACAUUGACGCUGAGGCGCGAAAGCGUGGGGAGCAAACAGG